Molecule: ribosomal RNA, 460 nt
Filed under: uncultured bacterium
Lineage: Bacteria
Description: partial 16S ribosomal RNA
Rfam family: Bacterial small subunit ribosomal RNA
Source: RNAcentral
CCUACGGGAGGCAGCAGUGAGGAAUAUUGGUCAAUGGGCGCGAGCCUGACCCAGCCACGUAGCGUGAAGGAUGACUGCCCUACGGGUUGUAAACUUCUUUUAUAAAGGAGUAAAGUGAGGCACGUGUGCCUUUUUGUAUGUACUUUAUGAAUGAGGAUCGGCUAACUCCGUUCCAGCAGCCGCGGUAAUACGGAGGAUCCGAGCGUUAUCCGGAUUUAGUGGGUGUAAAGGGAGCGUAGAUGGGUUGGUAAGUCAGUUGUGAAAGUUUUCGGCUCAACCGUAAAAUUGCAAUUGAUACUGGCAGUCUUGAGUACAGGUGAGGUAGGCGGAAUUCGUGGUGUAGCGGUGAAAUGCGUAGAUAUCACGAAGAACUCCGAUUGCGAAGGCAGCUUACUAAACUGUCACUGACAUUGAUGCGCGAAAGUGUGGGUAUCAAACAGGAUUAGAUACCCUAGUAGUC